RNAcentral lists this ribosomal RNA (2222 nucleotides) under Yersinia pseudotuberculosis. Its description in RNAcentral is "bacterial LSU rRNA". It matches the Rfam family "Bacterial large subunit ribosomal RNA", at positions 1 to 2236 of the family's 2925-position model. The record is from RNAcentral. Lineage: Bacteria; Pseudomonadati; Pseudomonadota; Gammaproteobacteria; Enterobacterales; Yersiniaceae.
GGGUUGUGAGGUUAAGCGACUAAGCGUACACGGUGGAUGCCUAGGCAGUCAGAGGCGAUGAAGGGCGUGCUAAUCUGCGAAAAGCGUCGGUAAGCUGAUAUGAAGCGUUAUAACCGACGAUACCCGAAUGGGGAAACCCAGUGCAAUACGUUGCACUAUCGUUAGAUGAAUACAUAGUCUAACGAGGCGAACCGGGGGAACUGAAACAUCUAAGUACCCCGAGGAAAAGAAAUCAACCGAGAUUCCCCCAGUAGCGGCGAGCGAACGGGGAGGAGCCCAGAGUCUGAAUCAGUUUGUGUGUUAGUGGAAGCGUCUGGAAAGUCGCACGGUACAGGGUGAUAGUCCCGUACACCAAAAUGCACAGGCUGUGAACUCGAUGAGUAGGGCGGGACACGUGACAUCCUGUCUGAAUAUGGGGGGACCAUCCUCCAAGGCUAAAUACUCCUGACUGACCGAUAGUGAACCAGUACCGUGAGGGAAAGGCGAAAAGAACCCCGGCGAGGGGAGUGAAAUAGAACCUGAAACCGUGUACGUACAAGCAGUGGGAGCACCUUCGUGGUGUGACUGCGUACCUUUUGUAUAAUGGGUCAGCGACUUAUAUUUUGUAGCAAGGUUAACCGAAUAGGGGAGCCGUAGGGAAACCGAGUCUUAACUGGGCGUCUAGUUGCAAGGUAUAGACCCGAAACCCGGUGAUCUAGCCAUGGGCAGGUUGAAGGUUGGGUAACACUAACUGGAGGACCGAACCGACUAAUGUUGAAAAAUUAGCGGAUGACUUGUGGCUGGGGGUGAAAGGCCAAUCAAACCGGGAGAUAGCUGGUUCUCCCCGAAAGCUAUUUAGGUAGCGCCUCGUGAACUCAUCUUCGGGGGUAGAGCACUGUUUCGGCUAGGGGGCCAUCCCGGCUUACCAAACCGAUGCAAACUCCGAAUACCGAAGAAUGUUAUCACGGGAGACACACGGCGGGUGCUAACGUCCGUCGUGAAGAGGGAAACAACCCAGACCGCCAGCUAAGGUCCCAAAGUCAUGGUUAAGUGGGAAACGAUGUGGGAAGGCACAGACAGCCAGGAUGUUGGCUUAGAAGCAGCCAUCAUUUAAAGAAAGCGUAAUAGCUCACUGGUCGAGUCGGCCUGCGCGGAAGAUGUAACGGGGCUAAACCAUGCACCGAAGCUGCGGCAGCGACACUUAGGUGUUGUUGGGUAGGGGAGCGUUCUGUAAGCCGUUGAAGGUGACCUGUGAGGGUUGCUGGAGGUAUCAGAAGUGCGAAUGCUGACAUAAGUAACGAUAAUGCGGGUGAAAAACCCGCACGCCGGAAGACCAAGGGUUCCUGUCCAACGUUAAUCGGGGCAGGGUGAGUCGACCCCUAAGGCGAGGCUGAAAAGCGUAGUCGAUGGGAAACAGGUUAAUAUUCCUGUACUUGGUGUUACUGCGAAGGGGGGACGGAGAAGGCUAGGCUGGCCGGGCGACGGUUGUCCCGGUUUAAGCGUGUAGGGGGAGUGACCAGGUAAAUCCGGUUGCUUAUCAACCCUGAGGCGUGAUGACGAUGCACUACGGUGCAGAAGCAGUUGAUGCCAUGCUUCCAGGAAAAGCCUCUAAGCAUCAGGUAACAUUAAAUCGUACCCCAAACCGACACAGGUGGUCAGGUAGAGAAUACUCAGGCGCUUGAGAGAACUCGGGUGAAGGAACUAGGCAAAAUGGUGCCGUAACUUCGGGAGAAGGCACGCUGGCGUUAGGUGAAAGGACUAGCUCCUGGAGCUGAAGCCAGUCGCAGAUACCAGCUGGCUGCAACUGUUUAAUAAAAACACAGCACUGUGCAAACACGAAAGUGGACGUAUACGGUGUGACGCCUGCCCGGUGCUGGAAGGUUAAUUGAUGGGGUCAGCCGCAAGGCGAAGCUCUUGAUCGAAGCCCCAGUAAACGGCGGCCGUAACUAUAACGGUCCUAAGGUAGCGAAAUUCCUUGUCGGGUAAGUUCCGACCUGCACGAAUGGCGUAAUGAUGGCCAGGCUGUCUCCACCCGAGACUCAGUGAAAUUGAACUCGCUGUGAAGAUGCAGUGUACCCGCGGCAAGACGGAAAGACCCCGUGAACCUUUACUAUAGCUUGACACUGAACAUUGAGCCUUGAUGUGUAGGAUAGGUGGGAGGCCUUGAAGUGUGGACGCCAGUCUGCAUGGAGCCAACCUUGAAAUACCACCCUUUAAUGUUUGAUGUUCUAACUCGGCCCCAU